UUGUGUGUAAAUAUUUAUCCCUCAUUCAUGUGGAAAUUCUUAUCCUUGAAAGGUGCAUGUGGGUUGAUAAAUCUGUUAGAUGAUCUUUUUCUACAACUAAUCUGCUUUUGCCUAAAUCAUCUACUUUCCCUAGUUUCAGGUGCUCACUGUCAGAAAAAAUAUGAAUUAUGUACCAGCAAUGGAUCAAAGGUAUAGACAGAAGAUAAAAUAGGUGGAUAUAUAAGAAGUUAUGAGCACACGACCGUGGCACAUCCAUGAGAAAGGAGAACACGAAAUAGAGAGGAAAAUUCAUCCUCUACUCUUCUAGAAAAGGUAGAAUAGAGAAGAAGAAUUAAUAUUCUAUCUCUAAUAUAAUAGGGUAAACACAAAGAUAGCAGAAAUACAAUAGAAGAUAAAGAGGAAAGCUCCUCUAAAAAGGAGAGAAGGGAGUACGGUGGAUGAUCGGACUAGAGCUGACCCUAGGUCAUGAACUUCUAUAGACAUAAAAGCCUAAGGUACACUGUCCCUCGUAUUGGGACUGACCCUUACAUGUAAAAGAUGAAAAUAUACUUUACAUUUUCUGACGCUUUAUUGAGGCCCUCACCACUCAGAAACUGUCAUGUAAGACUCAAUCAAGGGAUGAGAAGAAAAACCCCAACCAACUACGAUUAUCAACAGAACCUAUUCUGACAGACAUGUCCAUCAUCAACAAAAGUGGUCCGUUAAAAGGGAUCAGGAGAUGAACAUUUGGGGAUAUUGGGAGGCACAACAAUAGCCAGCAACCAAAGAUGGCGCUCCCCACAGAUCACUGACAUGAAUCACAACCACUAAGCAAGAGAGGAGGACGCAGGGAUCUAGGGGCUAGAAGGCAACCACAGUAAGCCGUUAAAUAUGGAGGAAGGAGUCAAGGAAGGGUAGGAAGAAAGUGGAAGUUGAAGAAGAA
RNAcentral lists this long non-coding RNA (922 nucleotides) under Spirodela polyrhiza (greater duckweed). RNAcentral's name for it is "long non-coding RNA (SPOL_LNC002239)". Lineage: Eukaryota; Viridiplantae; Streptophyta; Magnoliopsida; Alismatales; Araceae. The record is from RNAcentral.